This 305-nucleotide ribosomal RNA is filed under the name uncultured Mesorhizobium sp. RNAcentral's name for it is "bacterial SSU rRNA". It matches the Rfam family "Bacterial small subunit ribosomal RNA", at positions 1077 to 1382 of the family's 1533-position model. The record is from RNAcentral. Lineage: Bacteria; Pseudomonadati; Pseudomonadota; Alphaproteobacteria; Hyphomicrobiales; Phyllobacteriaceae.
GGGUUAAGUCCCGCAACGAGCGCAACCCUCGCCCUUAGUUGCCAUCAUUCAGUUGGGCACUCUAAGGGGACUGCCGGUGAUAAGCCGAGAGGAAGGUGGGGAUGAACGUCAAGUCCUCAUGGCCCUUACGGGCUGGGCUACACACGUGCUACAAUGGUGGUGACAGUGGGCAGCGAGACCGCGAGGUCGAGCUAAUCUCCAAAAGCCAUCUCAGUUCGGAUUGCACUCUGCAACUCGAGUGCAUGAAGUUGGAAUCGCUAGUAAUCGCGGAUCAGCAUGCCGCGGUGAAUACGUUCCCGGGCCUU